Molecule: non-coding RNA, 1708 nt
Organism: Oryctolagus cuniculus (rabbit)
Lineage: Eukaryota; Metazoa; Chordata; Mammalia; Lagomorpha; Leporidae
Source: RefSeq, a predicted model, not a curated record
AAGGAAAGGGGGGAGAGGAGAAGGGCGUGGGAGCACGAGGGGUACCACUGGACAGAAGGCACGGGUGUGCCUGUCCAAAGGCUGCUGUCUGAGCACUGGCUUUCAGGAGUUCCCCCACUGCCUAAUUAGGAGGCUGGCUCACCACGCCCCAACCAUAAACACUGCAUGACUUCUGCCGAGUUCUGGAUCUCCUCCAGGAGUCUGGAAUUUUAGUACACUCGACACAGACAGUGAGUGCGUGGCCAGGCCCAGUGGACUCCAGGCAGAGUCCUUGGUAGUCAGCAUCUCAGACAUGUGGCCCAGCUCAGUCCUGGGGAGUUAAGCACAUCCAUGGGACUACGGGGAGAGGGUCUCCGGAAGCUCACUCAUCACCUCUAGACGCCACCCUACGUGCCGUUCCUGUCACUGAAUCUGCCUUGUGUCUCCUACUUGGGAGUCAGCAGAGAGAACUGCCGAGCUGGGAGCAGUCUUGGGAACCCCUGCAGAGAAGUCCCCAGGAGCAGCCCAGAGAGGAAGCAGAACUGGCGGAACCAGCGGUGGACCGGCCAGAGAGGAGGACAGGGACAAGGCGAAGGCGAGGCCCAGCUGCCCUGCUUCUCCCUAGUGCUCGCGGCUAUCUGCUCCUCUCCGAGCGCCAGCAGCCCUGUGAGCACGUCCCAUGCAGCCGUCUAUUUACCUGGUCCUCUACGGUGCUGUGGUGUAGCGGAUUAAUGCCCUGGCCUGAAGCACUGGCUUCCCAUAUGGGUUCAAGACCCAGCCACUCCACUUCCAAUCCAGCUCUCUGCUGUGGCCUGUGGAAGAUGGCUCAAGUCCUUGGGCCCCUGCACCCACGUGGGAAGACCUGGAGGAGGCUCCUGGCUCCGGAUCAGCGCAGCUCCGGCUGUUGCGGUCAUCUGAGGAGUGAACCACCAGAUGGAAGACCUCUUUCUCUCUGCCUCUCCUCUCUCUGUGUAACUCUGACUUUCAAAUAAAUAAAUCUUAAAAAAAAAAAAGCCCUCUAAAUUAUUGUCAUUGAGAUUUUCUGUAUUGAACAAAGGGAAAACUAAUUUCUAACUUUUCAAAUUAACUUAAAUACCUAAUAUUUUACAUUUGAAGUGUUUUUUCCAGUUCAUUGAUAUUCACAGAAGUUUAACUUUUCAGGAAAAUGAAUAAUAAAAGCAUAAUGAUUUUCUUAAAGUUCUAAUACAAUAAAAUAACAAUACGCACAAAACAGCACUUACUUUGGUAUUGAUGGCAAAGCUCGUUCACCUUCUGGGGGAAAAGAAGGAAAAAGAGAAUGAUUUUCCUUUUCAUGGUUUUGUAAAGAUCAUACACAGUAAUCAGGGGAAAAGGGUAAGCUCUAUCCUGAUUUUUAGCAAUAGCCCAUUAGAGUCACACUAUAGGUUUUCAUGGUUUUAUUUUCAGUAUUUAUAACAUACACAAAAGAACUGUUAAGUGAACAGCAUUUGAAAGAUACUACCUAAAGUGCAAGACUUCCUGUCCCAGGAGACUAAAGUCUGGGGGAUUUUUUAUGAUCAAAGUAAGCAUUCCUUGUCAAAGAAAUGAACCUUCUACAAACCGAGAAGAUUGCAAAUAAUGUGAUAUCAACACAAGUGUCAUAAGACAGUAAGCUACUGUGAAGUAAUAGCAAAGUUUUGAGAAAGAUUGCUAUUGGAAACAGCACCAUUUAAAAACAAAAUAAUUAUCAGUCGGACUUGCCCCAAAUGGU